UACGUAGGGGGCAAGCGUUGUCCGGAUUUAUUGGGCGUAAAGAGCUCGUAGGCGGUUCGGUAAGUCGGGUGUUAAACCCCCAGGCUCAACCUGGGGACGCCACUCGAUACUGCUGUGACUAGAGUCCGGUAGGGGAGCGUGGAAUUCCUGGUGUAGCGGUGAAAUGCGCAGAUAUCAGGAGGAACACCAGCGGCGAAGGCGGCGCUCUGGGCCGGUACUGACACUGAGGAGCGAAAGCCAGGGGAGCGAACGGG
This 254-nucleotide ribosomal RNA is filed under the name uncultured bacterium. Its description in RNAcentral is "partial 16S ribosomal RNA". It matches the Rfam family "Bacterial small subunit ribosomal RNA", at positions 524 to 776 of the family's 1533-position model. The record is from RNAcentral.